GAGUUUGAUCCUGGCUCAGGACGAACGCUGGCGGCGCGCCUAACACAUGCAAGUCGAACGAAGGGAAGGGGGCUUGCCCCCUGAACUUAGUGGCGGACGGGUGAGUAACACGUGAGCAACCUGCCCUAUAGAGGGGGAUAACGUUUGGAAACGAACGCUAAUACCGCAUAACGCGCUGGGGGGACAUCCCUUUGGCGCCAAAGGAGCAAUCCGCUAUAGGAUGGGCUCGCGUCCGAUUAGAUAGUUGGCGGGGUAACGGCCCACCAAGUCGACGAUCGGUAGCCGGACUGAGAGGUUGAACGGCCACAUUGGGACUGAGACACGGCCCAGACUCCUACGGGAGGCAGCAGUGGGGGAUAUUGCACAAUGGAGGGAACUCUGAUGCAGCGACGCCGCGUGAGGGAAGAAGGUUUUCGGAUUGUAAACCUCUGUCUUCGGUGACGAAACGAGACGGUAGCCGAGGAGGAAGCCACGGCUAACUACGUGCCAGCAGCCGCGGUAAUACGUAGGUGGCAAGCGUUGUCCGGAAUUACUGGGUGUAAAGGGAGCGUAGGCGGGAAAGCAAGUUGAAUGUUUAAGGUACGGGCUCAACCUGUACAAGCGUUCAAAACUGUUUUUCUUGAGUGGAGUAGAGGUAAGCGGAAUUCCUAGUGUAGCGGUGAAAUGCGUA
RNAcentral lists this ribosomal RNA (670 nucleotides) under uncultured bacterium. RNAcentral's name for it is "bacterial SSU rRNA". It matches the Rfam family "Bacterial small subunit ribosomal RNA", at positions 9 to 692 of the family's 1533-position model. The record is from RNAcentral.